GACGAACGCUGGCGGCUUGCUUAACACAUUCAAGUCGAACGGUGAAGCGCCUUCCUUUUUGGUGGUUGUGGAUGAGUGGCGUCCGGGUGAGUAACACGUGAGUCACCUGCCCCCUUCUUCUGGAUAACUGCCUUAAAGUGUGGCUACUACGGGAUAUUCUGGAUCUGUCGCCUGCUAGGUCUGGGAUAGAUAUUGUGUCGUUGGGUGAUGGGCUCGCGGCGUAUCAGCUUGUUGGUGGGGUGAUGGCCUACCAAGGCGGUGACGGGUAGCCGGCCUGAGAGGGUGGACGGUAAGAAUGGGAGUGAGACAAGGCUCAGAAUACGACGGGAGGGAGAAGUGGGGAAUAUUGCACAAUGGGGGAAAGACUGAGGCAGAGAAGCAGCGUGAGGGAUGGAGGCGUGCGGGUUGUGAACCUCUUUAGCCAGUGAAGCAGGGAUGCCUAGUUUGUGGGUGGGUUGACGGUAGCUGGAUAAGAAGCGCAGACUAACUACGUG
This 494-nucleotide ribosomal RNA is filed under the name uncultured bacterium. RNAcentral's name for it is "partial 16S ribosomal RNA". It matches the Rfam family "Bacterial small subunit ribosomal RNA", at positions 28 to 507 of the family's 1533-position model. The record is from RNAcentral.